CUAACAAGGAUUCCCCUAGUAACAGCGAGUGAAGAGGGAAGGGCUCAAAUUUUAAAUCUGCCUCUGUUCCAAGGUCGAGUUGUAAUUUGAAGAAGCGUUCUCUUGGGCUCGCGGCCGGUAGAAGUUCUUUGGAACAGGACAUCAUAGAGGGUGACAAUCCCGUCCGUGACCGGUCGUGCGUUCAUCUACGAUACGCUUUCAAAGAGUCGAGUUGUUUGGGAUUGCAGCUCCAAACGGGUGGUAAACAUCACCUAAGGCUAAAUAUUGGCGAGAGACCGAUAGCGAACAAGUACCGUGAGGGAAAGAUGAAAAGAACUUUGAAAAGAGAGUUAAACAGUACGUGAAAUUGUUGAAAGGGAAACGAUUGAAGUCAGUCGUGCUGGCGCGAAAUCAACCCUCUCGUCUUGAGAUCACAUGGCGCGACGAGCCUCAAAACCGUCACGAAGCGUGAGCGCUUGAUGAAAAGGUGCACUUUCGUGUCAGCUGGUUAACACCAAUUUCGAUCGUCAUAAAAAGGCUGGAGGGAUGUGGCUCCUUCGGGAGUGUUAUAACCUUUAGCGGAAUGUGGUGGUUGGGAUUGAGGAUUGCAACGAAUACCUUUAGGGCUGUUCCACCUGGCUUCUCAUUGGUAUCCUGGUGACGACAGCUUGCUGACGUCGUUAGGAUCAGCUUCUGAACAGGCUAGAGUGUGAGCAAAUUCGUUAAGGAUGU
RNAcentral lists this ribosomal RNA (711 nucleotides) under Diversispora trimurales. Its description in RNAcentral is "eukaryotic LSU rRNA". It matches the Rfam family "Eukaryotic large subunit ribosomal RNA", at positions 65 to 626 of the family's 3401-position model. Lineage: Eukaryota; Fungi; Glomeromycota; Glomeromycetes; Diversisporales; Diversisporaceae. The record is from RNAcentral.